This 849-nucleotide ribosomal RNA is filed under the name uncultured eukaryote. RNAcentral describes it as "eukaryotic LSU rRNA". The stretch from base 411 to 564 matches the Rfam family "5.8S ribosomal RNA". The record is from RNAcentral.
AAAAGUCGUAACAAGGUUCCCGUAGGUGAACCUGCGGAAGGAUCAUUAAAGAAAUUAAAUAAUUUUGAAAAUGGAUUUUUUUGUUUUGCCAAGAGCAUGAGAGCUUUUACUGGGCAAGAAGACAAGAGAUGGAGAGUCCAGCCGGGCCUGCGCUUAAGUGCGCGGUCUUGCUAGGCUUGUAAGUUUCUUUCUUGCUAUUCCAAACGGUGAGAGAUUUCUGUGCUUUUGUUAUAGGACAAUUAAAACCGUUUCAAUACAACACACUGUGGAGUUUUCAUAUCUUUGCAACUUUUUCUUUGGGCAUUCGAGCAAUCGGGGCCCAGAGGUAACAAACACAAACAAUUUUAUCUAUUCAUUAAAUUUUUGUCAAAAACAAGAAUUUUCGUAACUGGAAAUUUUAAAAUAUUAAAAACUUUCAACAACGGAUCUCUUGGUUCUCGCAUCGAUGAAGAACGCAGCGAAAUGCGAUACGUAAUGUGAAUUGCAGAAUUCCGUGAAUCAUCGAAUCUUUGAACGCACAUUGCGCCCCUUGGUAUUCCAGGGGGCAUGCCUGUUUGAGCGUCAUUUCCUUCUCAAACAUUCUGUUUGGUAGUGAGUGAUACUCUUUGGAGUUAACUUGAAAUUGCUGGCCUUUUCAUUGGAUGUUUUUUUUCCAAAGAGAGGUUUCUCUGCGUGCUUGAGGUAUAAUGCAAGUACGGUCGUUUUAGGUUUUACCAACUGCGGCUAAUCUUUUUUUAUACUGAGCGUAUUGGAACGUUAUCGAUAAGAAGAGAGCGUCUAGGCGAACAAUGUUCUUAAAGUUUGACCUCAAAUCAGGUAGGAGUACCCGCUGAACUUAAGCAUAUCAAU